This 1438-nucleotide ribosomal RNA is filed under the name uncultured organism. Its description in RNAcentral is "SSU rRNA". It matches the Rfam family "Bacterial small subunit ribosomal RNA". The record is from RNAcentral.
CAGGCUUAACACAUGCAAGUCGAGGGGCAGCAUGGUCUUAGCUUGCUAAGACUGAUGGCGACCGGCGCACGGGUGAGUAACACGUAUCCAACCUGCCGUCUACUCUUGGACAGCCUUCUGAAAGGAAGAUUAAUACAAGAUGGCAUCAUGAGUCCGCAUGUUCACAUGAUUAAAGGUAUUCCGGUAGACGAUGGGGAUGCGUUCCAUUAGAUAGUAGGCGGGGUAACGGCCCACCUAGUCUUCGAUGGAUAGGGGUUCUGAGAGGAAGGUCCCCCACAUUGGAACUGAGACACGGUCCAAACUCCUACGGGAGGCAGCAGUGAGGAAUAUUGGUCAAUGGGCGAGAGCCUGAACCAGCCAAGUAGCGUGAAGGAUGACUGCCCUAUGGGUUGUAAACUUCUUUUAUAAAGGAAUAAAGUCGGGUAUGCAUACCCGUUUGCAUGUACUUUAUGAAUAAGGAUCGGCUAACUCCGUGCCAGCAGCCGCGGUAAUACGGAGGAUCCGAGCGUUAUCCGGAUUUAUUGGGUUUAAAGGGAGCGUAGAUGGAUGUUUAAGUCAGUUGUGAAAGUUUGCGGCUCAACCGUAAAAUUGCAGUUGAUACUGGAUAUCUUGAGUGCAGUUGAGGCAGGCGGAAUUCGUGGUGUAGCGGUGAAAUGCUUAGAUAUCACGAAGAACUCCGAUUGCGAAGGCAGCCUGCUAAGCUGCAACUGACAUUGAGGCUCGAAAGUGUGGGUAUCAAACAGGAUUAGAUACCCUGGUAGUCCACACGGUAAACGAUGAAUACUCGCUGUUUGCGAUAUACUGCAAGCGGCCAAGCGAAAGCGUUAAGUAUUCCACCUGGGGAGUACGCCGGCAACGGUGAAACUCAAAGGAAUUGACGGGGCCCGCACAAGCGGAGGAACAUGUGGUUUAAUUCGAUGAUACGCGAGGAACCUUACCCGGGCUUAAAUUGCAGAUGAAUUACGGUGAAAGCCGUAAGCCGCAAGGCAUCUGUGAAGGUGCUGCAUGGUUGUCGUCAGCUCGUGCCGUGAGGUGUCGGCUUAAGUGCCAUAACGAGCGCAACCCUUGUUGUCAGUUACUAACAGGUUCCGCUGAGGACUCUGACAAGACUGCCAUCGUAAGAUGUGAGGAAGGUGGGGAUGACGUCAAAUCAGCACGGCCCUUACGUCCGGGGCUACACACGUGUUACAAUGGGGGGUACAGAGGGCCGCUACCACGCGAGUGGAUGCCAAUCCCCAAAACCUCUCUCAGUUCGGACUGGAGUCUGCAACCCGACUCCACGAAGCUGGAUUCGCUAGUAAUCGCGCAUCAGCCACGGCGCGGUGAAUACGUUCCCGGGCCUUGUACACACCGCCCGUCAAGCCAUGGGAGCCGGGGGUACCUGAAGUGCGUAACCGCGAGGAGCGCCCUAGGGUAAAACUGGUGACUGGGGCUAAAU